Molecule: long non-coding RNA, 1939 nt
Organism: Oncorhynchus keta (chum salmon)
Lineage: Eukaryota; Metazoa; Chordata; Actinopteri; Salmoniformes; Salmonidae
Exons: 3
Source: RefSeq, a predicted model, not a curated record
GCUGCUCAGUGUGAGGUAAUACAGUAGCGGGAGUGCUGCUCAGUGUGAGGUAAUACAGUAGCGGGAGUGCUGCUCAGUGUGAGGUAAUACAGUAGCGGGAGUGCUGCUCAGUGUGAGGUAAUACAGUAGCGGGAGUGCUGCUCAGUGUGAGGUAAUACAGUAGAGGGAGUGCUGCUCAGCGUGAGGUAAUACAGUAGGGGGAGUGCUGCUCAGUGUGAGGUAAUACAGUAGGGGGAGUGCUGCUCGGCGUGAGGUAAUACAGUAGAGGGAGUGCUGCUCAGCGUGAGGUAAUACAGUAGGGGGAGUGCUGCUCAGUGUGAGGUAAUACAGUAGGGGGAGUGUUUAUCAAAUAGAAUGUUUUAUAUGCUCUCCACACUCUCGUCCUCGCAAGAACGUAAUGAAGAGAAAGUCGUCAGAGGAUGCACUCUGAGCAUAAGACUGUGAAGCACAGUAGUAUGCAUAUUGAGAAGCACGCUCGGUGUCGAUCUGUUAAUGUGGAAUUGCCCUUGUAUAACUUACUGUAUUUAUUUAAGUACAACAUAUACUGUAUGUAUACUCACCUUUGUUCCCAUGUCAUACCUGGUUACGAUGGGGGUAGACAUCUAUCUGAUGUGUAAAGAGCAAUUUGCACAUUUCUUUACUGUUGCAGUGACCAGUUAGAUGUUUCACAUGGUGGAACAAAGAUUAUACAAAAAUACAAUUUUAAGACCCUGUAAUUACACCAACAGCUAUGAUAUACAUAAUGUAUAAUAGCCAUACUUUUAUAAUAAGAUGUUUUGAUAAACAGUGAUACAAAAGCAAUCCAAGAGAGAGAGGAGAUGAGGCAGAGUGUAUGAUCCACCAACGAUAUCAGAGCGACGAUGCACGCCUACCGUUUGACAUGAUUAUACUGUCCCUCUGGUGCUGUUACUCAUGCUAUUUCCCAGUACUUUUCUAUACUUCAGCUUUAUGCUGACAACAGUUUACCUAUGAAUCAUCAGGUUUCAAUCUGAGGUAGGUGGUGGUUGCUGACUCAGCAAAGCAGCAUCCAUCUUGCUACCUGCAGAUAAUUGUUUGAUUCACUACAUAGCAUCUAGAAGUCAUCGAGCAAAUUCAAAUGAGAUGCCACUACAAUAAAUCAAUAAAGAAUGCAAACAGUACACCCUAAUUAGGCUACAUUUUAGUUUCUGGAACAUUCCCUGGACUGUUUUUAUUUUUUAUUUAUUCAGAUCUCUAUCUCCGCCUGAGGCUGUUUGCUCUUGCUCAUGUCGAUGGUGUAGGAUAGACAUAAAGUGUUUCCCUGACUGGCUAUUUAUCACAAAUUAGGCAUAAUUCCAGAUGUCUGCUGAUGCUAAAUGGACUUGUCAGGCAAUCCCAGCAGUACUGUCUGAGCUCUGCCAGUCGAGGCCAGCUCACAUGGGCCUGUCCCCUGUACUGUUCUGUACGAAUCCCAGCUAGCCACCCUCAAAUCAGGCCUGUCGCUGAACAAAGACUCCAGAACAAGACUCAUAGCUCCAGACAUAUUGUAGUUUGCCAUCCCAAGGGUAGCACUGUCAUCUUAGAUAUGAUUACUGUACCAUCCCCUGCAUUUUUUUAUUUAUUUUACCUUUAUUUAACUAGGCAAGUCAGUUAAGAACAAAUUCUUAUUUUCAAUGACGGCCUAGGAACAGUGGGUUAACUGCCUGUUCAGGGGCAGAACGACAGAUUUGUACCUUGUCAGCUCGGGGGCAUGAACUUGCAACCUUCCGGUUACUAGUCCAACUCUCUAACCACUAGGCUACCCUGCCCUUUAACCCAUUAAUUGUAGCAGGAAGACGAAUGGACAUCUCUUUCUGGUUUUGAUUGGCCUUAUGUGGUAUAGACGCCCGCCUAUACCACAGACGGGCACCAAAGUACAAUGGCACAUUUUUACUGGAAUGUUGGUAUGAUGACUUGUUCCUCUUACAUGCUAGUAUUUUAA